UACGAAGGGGGCUAGCGUUGUUCGGAAUUACUGGGCGUAAAGCGUGCGCAGGCGGCCAUCCAAGUCAGGGGUGAAAGCCCAGAGCUCAACUCUGGAACUGCCCUUGAAACUGUAUGGCUUGAGUAUGAGAGAGGUGAGUGGAAUUCCCAGUGUAGAGGUGAAAUUCGUAGAUAUUGGGAAGAACACCGGUGGCGAAGGCGGCUCACUGGCUCAUUACUGACGCUCAGGCGCGACAGCGUGGGGAUCAAACAGG
Molecule: ribosomal RNA, 253 nt
Filed under: uncultured bacterium
Lineage: Bacteria
Description: partial 16S ribosomal RNA
Rfam family: Bacterial small subunit ribosomal RNA
Source: RNAcentral